ACAGCCGUGAUUAUUUGCAUUGACCAAUUGUUCCGCCUGAAGGCCGAACGCCACUGUUGACAAUCGCAUCUCGUUAAGUUUCAGCCUUGUAUGAGCCAC
Molecule: small nucleolar RNA, 99 nt
Filed under: Ogataea parapolymorpha DL-1
Lineage: Eukaryota; Fungi; Ascomycota; Pichiomycetes; Pichiales; Pichiaceae
Source: RNAcentral